CCGGUUGAUCCUGCCGGACCUGACUGCUAUCGGAUUGAUACUAAGCCAUGUGAGUCAUUGUAGCAAUACAAGGCAGACGGCUCAGUAACACGUAGUCAAUCUACCCUAUGGACGGGGAUAACCUCGGGAAACUGAGGAUAACACCCGAUAGAUCAUAAUUCCUGGAAUGGUUUAUGGUCCAAACGAUUCGUCGCCGUAGGAUGGGACUGCGGCCUAUCAGCUUGUUGGUGAGGUAAUGGCCCACCAAGGCUAUUACAGGUACGGGCUCUGAGAGGAGAAGCCCGGAGAUGGGUACUGAGACACGGACCCAGGCCCUAUGGGGCGCAGCAGGCGGGAAACCUUUGCAAUGUGCGCAAGCACGACAAGGUUAAUCCGAGUGUUUCCUGCUAAAGGAAUCUUUUGUUAGUUGUAAAACCACUAUCGAAUAAGGGGUGGGCAAGUUCUGGUGUCAGCCGCCGCGGUAAAACCAGCACCUCAAGUGGUCAGGAGGAUUAUUGGGCCUAAAGCAUCCGUAGCCUGUUCUAUAAGUUUCCGGUUAAAUCCACUAGCUCAACUAGUGGGCUGCCGAAAAUACUGUAGAACUAGGGAGUGGGAGAGGUAGACGGUAUUCGGUAGGAAGGGGUAAAAUCCUUUGAUCUAUUGAGGACCACCUGUGGCGAA
RNAcentral lists this ribosomal RNA (660 nucleotides) under uncultured archaeon. Its description in RNAcentral is "bacterial SSU rRNA". It matches the Rfam family "Archaeal small subunit ribosomal RNA", at positions 4 to 670 of the family's 1478-position model. The record is from RNAcentral.